GGAAGAUUACCCAAGUCUGGCUGAAGGGGACGGUCUCGAAAACCGUUAGACGGGUUUUGCUCGUGCAAGGGUUCGAAUCCCUUAUCUUCCG
Molecule: transfer RNA, 91 nt
Organism: Carnobacterium sp.
Lineage: Bacteria; Bacillati; Bacillota; Bacilli; Lactobacillales; Carnobacteriaceae
Rfam family: tRNA
About the family: Transfer RNA (tRNA) molecules are approximately 80 nucleotides in length. Their secondary structure includes four short double-helical elements and three loops (D, anti-codon, and T loops). Further hydrogen bonds mediate the characteristic L-shaped molecular structure. tRNAs have two regions of fundamental functional importance: the anti-codon, which is responsible for specific mRNA codon recognition, and the 3' end, to which the tRNAs corresponding amino acid is attached (by aminoacyl-tRNA synthetases). tRNAs cope with the degeneracy of the genetic code in two manners: having more than one tRNA (with a specific anti-codon) for a particular amino acid; and 'wobble' base-pairing, i.e. permitting non-standard base-pairing at the 3rd anti-codon position.
Source: Rfam